ACGCUGGCGGCAUGCCUAACACAUGCAAGUCGAACGAGACCUUCGGGUCUAGUGGCGCACGGGUGCGUAACGCGUGGGAACCUGCCUUAGGUUCGGAAUAACUCAGAGAAAUUUGAGCUAAUACCGGAUAAUGUCUUCGGACCAAAGAUUUAUCGCCUUUAGAUGGGCCCGCGUUGGAUUAGCUAGUUGGUGGGGUAAAGGCCUACCAAGGCGACGAUCCAUAGCUGGUCUGAGAGGAUGAUCAGCCACACUGGGACUGAGACACGGCCCAGACUCCUACGGGAGGCAGCAGUGGGGAAUAUUGGACAAUGGGCGAAAGCCUGAUCCAGCAAUGCCGCGUGAGUGAUGAAGGCCUUAGGGUUGUAAAGCUCUUUUACCCGAGAUGAUAAUGACAGUAUCGGGAGAAUAAGCUCCGGCUAACUCCGUG
This 427-nucleotide ribosomal RNA is filed under the name uncultured bacterium. Its description in RNAcentral is "bacterial SSU rRNA". It matches the Rfam family "Bacterial small subunit ribosomal RNA", at positions 33 to 507 of the family's 1533-position model. The record is from RNAcentral.